UUUCCUGCCAGCAUCUUACACCCUGCAGUUAUGUGCUGGAUUGUCUCAGGGGCCUCUUUGCACAGCCUACACCUUGGGUCUUGUCUGGUGUGGUAGAUCUGGCACACUAAAGCACACUGCAGCGAUGAACUGUGAAGUCAACCUGUUCAACUAUCCCUUCGCCCUUUCGCCAUCCAAACCUGGUCCACUAAUGGAUGUGCGGGUCGCUCUGGGAACUUAUAAUGGGAUUUAUUUCAUUAUUUUCUGACAUUUCUGCCGCUGGCAGGCGGUGAAUGCAACUCUUUCAGCGUCACUCUGGUGCUCGGCUUCACCAUGUUCCUCAACAUCCUCAACGAUGAGCUCCCUGGAGACAGCCAGUGCAGCCCCAUCAUCCGCCCGUCAGCUUGCAUGCAGACACAAACACACUCAUACAAACUCUCAAACGAAGUAUAUGAACAGCAUCACAGUUUGAGACACUAACUGUCUGUCUGUGCUGCAGGAACCCACUUCUGUAUGUGUCUGGUCUUCUUGGUGUUGAGCAUGUUGGAGUCCGUGGUGCUGACGCAGUUGGCCAAAGAUGGCGGCAUCAUUUUCUGCUGCUGGUCCAAAGGGCCAGUCCUAGAGAACAGGGAAAAGAAAGAGGAUGAGGGUGAGGAAGCUCGUUAAACAAAUACUGCAAGUGUUGAGUCGGUGCUGCAAUACUUGAUAUUGAGCAGGGAAUUUUGAUGCUCACAAAGUCUCGAUUUUGGAUAAACAAAAAACACUGUAUGAUCUGUUGUGAUUGCUACUUCGACCCCUACAGAAGCCAAAGGUGACAUUAGUGUCAUUCAGCUGAAUGCCUGAGGACAGUCGAAUGCUCAGAAAGGUGUCCAACUUCCUGGAAAAUAUUGACGCAGGUACACUGGAAACUGAGAGACAUCAGAAGUUUGCCAACGCAAGAUAUUUUUCUGAAUCUAUUCCUUUUUUUGGCACUGUAUACUUUUUUGCAAUGACUUAUGUGAUGAUAAAUUAUAAAUGUACAGUUAACCAUUUUGAUUUCUGGUACUAAUAAUACGGUUUAACUGUGUGUUAUUGCAUGCCAUUACUUUAUUGAAACAGCUAAACUGAGCUGUUCUCAAUAAAAUUACAAAUUUAUGAUUACAUAAGAUCUCAUAAAAUCAAAUGCAAAUAUUGAAAGAUUGAAGCAAAUCUCACCUCACAUUUAUUACAUUUGUUACACGUUACAUUCACAAUAAUAUCAUAAAACAAUAUAAUGUUGUGGUGCUGAUUUGUACUUAUAGUUCAUCUCUUGAUGUAUGAAAAUGUGUUAGCAUAUUCUAAAAAUCAAACAAAUAAAGGAAUUUCAUCUUUCACUCCUGAUAUCUUUUUCCCCUGACUGAGUCACAUGAUGCAUGUAAGUGUAUGAAAUGAUUAUUUAAAAGAUUGUCCAAUAUUCCAUAACACCCUCUUCAGGACAUGUAUGGCAGUAUUCCAGGAUGUUAUUCUGAGGGAAUAAAAUCAGUAGAAUAAGGUACAAUAUAAUAGAAAUAUAUAAAAUGCAAGGAAAAGACAAAUGAAACGAAGUAUGUGACACAGAAUCUGCUAAACUAAAAUGUUCCUUUGUUGCCGCCUAGUGGGUGAAUCACUCACUGCAGACAGACUGGUGCUUGAUUAGUUUCUACACCGAUACUCUGACCUGGACCUGAUGACAUUUUAACCAGCAGGACUUCAGCUUGAGUUGAAUAUUUCACAACUCUGUGUCUGUCCACCAUUAAAACAAAGCUGCUGAAGGGCAGCUAAUGAGAGGUGAAUAUACUGAUAGGUGUUAAUAACAUAAUGUUAAGAAAAAUCAAUGGGUAUGUCUGAGGUAAUUUGCAGGGAAUUUAUGAGAUUUUGACACUUAAUAUCCUAUGAAACCACUUGAACACCCCUGUUAUACUGUUAUUAUUAAGGAAUUACUGUUCAAUAUACAGAAUGUUUAGAUAUCAUGAUCAUGGGGUUAUUAUAGUUGCUCAAUUGUGUUUACAAUGAGCCUUUAGUAAGAGUUGCAGUCAGAAAUGAUGGUUAUAAGUUUACUGUUGUCUCUUUUUUUUUUUGUAAAACACAACACUUUCCUCAGAGAAGUCCUGGGUAAAUGACCAGUUUUUGUAUAAAAUCACACCCAAGCAGCACUUAUAUCAAAACAUUUUAACUUUUAGAAACUCUACAAUUUAUAACAAUGUUUUUGUUUUUUUUAGUAGGCACAAUAAGGUAACAGAUCUGUUUAUAUACAGUAUAUUAUCCCCAAAUACCUUUUUGAAAACAGUGUACAGUACAUUAAUUGAUGCUGCCUGCAGGGCUGUGGCUCAAACUCAAGCUAUAUGUGAAACACAUUUAAUGCUUUCAUUUUUACAACAAAACUGCUCUGAAUUUAGGGCAAUGUCUAGAUCCAAAUCCCCUUUAGGACUCAGGCAUUUUAACAUCUUUAAUGUCUUCUUAACUCCUGAUUUAAGAUGAAUUAAA
Molecule: long non-coding RNA, 2460 nt
Organism: Siniperca chuatsi (mandarin fish)
Lineage: Eukaryota; Metazoa; Chordata; Actinopteri; Centrarchiformes; Sinipercidae
Exons: 2
Source: RefSeq, a predicted model, not a curated record